Non-coding RNA from Xyrichtys novacula (pearly razorfish), 362 nucleotides. NCBI's taxonomy places the organism in Eukaryota, Metazoa, Chordata, Actinopteri, Labriformes, Labridae. The record is from the annotation of a GenBank genome assembly.
UUUGAGCAUGUGUAAUGGCAUGAAUGUGUUGAAUUAGUAAUCCCUUUGUUAAGCUGUUGUUUUAGUGUUCUUUUGAUGAGUUUGGCUUGUUGUUAUGAAAAGUGUUUGUUUUGGCGAGUUUGAACGUUUUUGAGCAUGUGUAAUGGCAUGAAUGUUUUGAAUUAGUAAUCCCUUGUGUUAAGCUGUUGUUUUAGUGUUCUUUUGAUGAGUUUGGCUUGUUGUUAUGAAAAGUGUUUGUUUUGGCGAGUUUGAACGUUUUUGAGCAUGUGUAAUGGCAUGAAUGCGUUAAGCUGUUGUUUUUGUGUUCUUUUGAUGAGUUUGGCUUGUUGUUAUGAAAAGUGUUUGUUUUGGCGAGUUUGAAC